UACAGAGACCUCAAGCGUUAUUCGGAUUUACUGGGCGUAAAGGGUGCGCAGGCGGCCAAGUGUGUCGGAGGUGAAAUCUUGCAGCUUAACUGUAAAAUUGCCUACGAAACUACUUGGCUAGAGUAUCGGAGAGGAUAGCGGAAUUCCAGGUGUAGCAGUGAAAUGCGUAGAUAUCUGGAGGAACACCAAUGGCGAAGGCAGCUAUCUGGACGAUUACUGACGCUCAGGCACGAAAGCAUGGGGAGCGAAAGGG
This 253-nucleotide ribosomal RNA is filed under the name uncultured bacterium. RNAcentral describes it as "partial 16S ribosomal RNA". It matches the Rfam family "Bacterial small subunit ribosomal RNA", at positions 524 to 776 of the family's 1533-position model. The record is from RNAcentral.